UACGUAGGGCGCAAGCGUUGUCCGGAAUUAUUGGGCGUAAAGAGCUCGUAGGCGGUUUGUCGCGUCUGCUGUGAAAACCUCAGGCUCAACCUGGGGCUUGCAGUGGGUACGGGCAGACUAGAGUGCGGGUAGGGGUGACUGGAAUUCCUGGUGUAGCGGUGGAAUGCGCAGAUAUCAGGAGGAACACCGAUGGCGAAGGCAGGUCACUGGGCCGCAACUGACGCUGAGAAGCGAAAGCAUGGGGAGCGAACAGG
RNAcentral lists this ribosomal RNA (254 nucleotides) under uncultured bacterium. RNAcentral describes it as "partial 16S ribosomal RNA". It matches the Rfam family "Bacterial small subunit ribosomal RNA", at positions 524 to 776 of the family's 1533-position model. The record is from RNAcentral.